CUUUUCUUUGUUUCAUAUUUGACAAAAUCUUCAAAUACUUUCACACCUGGAAAAAGAUUAAAAGAAUUAAGAAAAAAAAGCUUCAUUAUUUGAAUGGAAAUCACUUCUUUUUCUUCUUCAUUUCCAUCACAAGAAGAUUUCAAUUCUCUAAACUUUUUUCAAGAACUCGACUUUCUUUCUCCAUCUUCUGAUCAUCAUCAUCAUCAAUCCAUGUCGAAAAAGAUAAAAAUUAACGAUUUUGAUCACAACCCAGUUGAGGAAAUCCUAAAUAAAUUUCUGGGUGUCGAAAACGAAACGCACCCAGAAUCAAAAUCAGUUGAAAAUCACACCCUUUUUGAUUACAAGAACCAAAAAUUUGAUUUUGAUCAUGGUGUUGUCUCUGGCACUAAACGUGUUCGUGAAAAUGCCAAUGAGAAUGAAGAUGGUCUAGUUGAGGUUAUCUCUGGUUCUGGCUCUGGUUCUGGUUAUUCUCAGCAGCCAUUACAGCAGAGGAGGUUAUGGGUGAAAAACAGAUCAAAUGCGUGGUGGGAGCAAUGUAACCGUCCUGAUUUCCCUGAAGAGGAAUUUAAGAAAGCAUUUCAUAUGGGCAAAGCUACGUUUGAUUUUAUAUGUUCUGAAUUAGAAUCAGUAGUGACAAAAAAGGACACGAUGUUACGUAUGGCGAUACCUGUUCGUCAACGUGUAGCUGUAUGCAUUUGGAGAUUGGCUACAGGA
RNAcentral lists this unclassified non-coding RNA (714 nucleotides) under Hevea brasiliensis (rubber tree). The record is from RNAcentral. Lineage: Eukaryota; Viridiplantae; Streptophyta; Magnoliopsida; Malpighiales; Euphorbiaceae.